UAAUACGUAGGGUCCGAGCGUUGUCCGGAAUUAUUGGGCGUAAAGAGCUCGUAGGCGGCGUGUCGCGUCUGCUGUGAAAGACCGGGGCUUAACUCCGGUUCUGCAGUGGAUACGGGCAUGCUAGAGGUAGGUAGGGGAGACUGGAAUUCCUGGUGUAGCGGUGAAAUGCGCAGAUAUCAGGAGGAACACCGGUGGCGAAGGCGGGUCUCUGGGCCUUACCUGACGCUGAGGAGCGAAAGCAUGGGGAGCGAACAGGAUUAGAUACCCUGGUAGUCCAUGCCGUAAACGUUGGGCGCUAGGUGUGGGGACUUUCCACGGUUUCCGCGCCGUAGCUAACGCAUUAAGCGCCCCGCCUGGGGAGUACGGCCGCAAGGCUAAA
Molecule: ribosomal RNA, 379 nt
Filed under: uncultured bacterium
Lineage: Bacteria
Description: bacterial SSU rRNA
Rfam family: Bacterial small subunit ribosomal RNA
Source: RNAcentral